Molecule: ribosomal RNA, 496 nt
Filed under: uncultured bacterium
Lineage: Bacteria
Description: partial 16S ribosomal RNA
Rfam family: Bacterial small subunit ribosomal RNA
Source: RNAcentral
GAUGAACGCUGGCGGCGUGCUUAACACAUGCAAGUCGAACGAAGCACUUUAAUCGAUUUCUUCGGAUUGAAAUUUUAGUGACUGAGUGGCGGACGGGUGAGUAACGCGUGGGUAACCUGCCUCACACAGGGGAUAACAGUUGGAAACGGCUGCUAAUACCGCAUAAGCGCACAGUACCGCAUGGUACGGUGUGAAAAACUCCGGUGGUGUGAGAUGGACCCGCGUCUGAUUAGCUAGUUGGCAGGGCAGCGGUCUACCAAGGCGACGAUCAGUAGCCGACCUGAGAGGGUGACCGGCCACAUUGGGACUGAGACACGGCCCAAACUCCUACGGGAGGCAGCAGUGGGGAAUAUUGCACAAUGGGGGAAACCCUGAUGCAGCGACGCCGCGUGAGCGAAGAAGUAUUUCGGUAUGUAAAGCUCUAUCAGCAGGGAAGAAGAAAUGACGGUACCUGACUAAGAAGCACCGGCUAAAUACGUGCCAGCCGCCGCAGUAA